GGGUAUGGUAAAAACCGUGAGGGAUUGGACGAUCCGCAGCCAAGCUCCUAAGGGUACACGGUGCCUAUGGAGAAGGUUCAGAGACUAAGUGGCAGUGGGUUGAUUGGUUGUAACCAAUCGGCUUAAGAUAGAGUCCGGCCCUGCCGAAAGGUAGCCUUAGGAUGAACGACCACACCAGUCUGGAGCCUAAGGAGCUAAUGCACGUCAUUAGUGGGAACAACCGAGGUGAACCUGCGGAAGGAUCA
RNAcentral lists this ribosomal RNA (245 nucleotides) under Coelastrum cambricum. RNAcentral describes it as "partial 18S ribosomal RNA". The stretch from base 1 to 156 matches the Rfam family "Group I catalytic intron", at positions 74 to 253 of the family's 253-position model. Rfam says of the family: Group I catalytic introns are large self-splicing ribozymes. Lineage: Eukaryota; Viridiplantae; Chlorophyta; Chlorophyceae; Sphaeropleales; Scenedesmaceae. The record is from RNAcentral.